AUAUUGCUCCCCAAGCUAUGACUCCAAAAAAAUGAAUAUUUAAUUAUCAUUUCAUGCUUCUAUAUAGUCUCCACCAGUUGCUGUCGUAGGACAUAUUGAAGAUCCUCGGGUCUAAGGUGUGAGCCGUUCUGCAGAAGCAGGUCUGUUGUGUCAAGGCUUCCUGAAAUACUGAAGCACAGAGUAUUACUCCUGUGGCUAUGACAUCACCACACGGAAAAGCUUAAGCUACUUUAAAAGUGUUUUCUUCUCCUAAAUAUACCCUUAACUACAUCUAACUAAAGACACUUCUCAGUAUAGUGUGUGCUUGGAAACUGUUUCCAGUGUGUACCUUGCAAAGCUAACCUUGUUGAAUAUGAUUGACUGCCUGCUGAGUGAUCAUUUCAGGAGUGUUCUGUUUGCAAUUUUCUAGGAAAUGUUGCUUCUUUACUCAUCAAGGAAGAGCAAACCAGAAAUGCCAGCAUUGUUUACCAUGUGGAAAAUUAAAAUUAUCUUAAUGAAGAGUGUCCACAUGCUGGCACAUGGCCAGAUGAAUCAUAUUUGUCAAAGUUGCCAAAAGAAGCCACUUUUGUGUCCUUAAGGACAAAGUGUACGAGGACGAGGACGGCAAAGAAGAGAAGGUGAAUUCACAGCAUGAAAACAGGAGAGAGGUUACCCUAAAAUACCAUCAGUGGACGGCAUCAUCUGUUAUGUAUGUAUGUAUGUGUGUGUGUAUGAUUGUGUGCAUGAGACUGUAUCAUGUAUGUAUGCAUACAUGUCCAUAUACAUAUCUAUAUAUUCAUUCCAGAAAAUUAUGAAUGUAUUUGAGAGAAACAGCCUGUGCUACAGUGACGUUAGAAUAGAUAUUAACAUUUGAACAUAUUAAUGUAUAAAUAAUGAUAUAUAGUGAUAUUAAUAUUUAAAUCCAGAGAUUUGUUUUUAAAAUAGGCUUUACAAGUUUGAUUAGUGUUAAGUCCUGUGAUGCCAACCAUCAAACCAAAAUUGUUACUAUAUUACAGACCAAAAAUUCAACCUAGAGUCUGCUGUUCUACAGACCAGCUUCCUCUAGAGUCUAUUAUGGCAUAACCCUGUCCACGGCAGAUUUCUAAUCAAAGACUUCACUUCUACAUUGUUACCGCAGAAGUUACUGAGGAAGGCUUUAAUAAGAUCACAUCAUAGUAAAAGAAGCCACUUCAAAGCUAAAUUUAAAGGUUUUAAUUGAUGUGAGAAAAUGAAUAUAAAGCUACCAGGAAGAAGAAAACAUCAAGUCUUUCACUGUCCUGUUCCAAUCUCUGCAUUUCAUUUUGUUAAUUCUCAAAAAGAAAACAUUAUCUGGGCUCACACCAAGUAACUGCAAGUAUUGUCUAAGUGAGAUAUAGUAAAGGAAGGAUGACGCAACAUUCAUUAUUCCCGAAUGGAAUUGGUUCUGCAUGUUUCACAUAGAAGAUGUGUGCAUGGAUUGACUGUAGAAGCUUAUUGCUGAGAUUUUUUUUCUUUUCCAUUUUUUAUUAGGUAUUUAGCUCAUUUACAUUUCCAAUGCUAUACCAAAAGUCCCCCAUAGCCACCCACCCCCACUCCCCUACCCACCCACUCCCCCUUUUUGGCCCUGGCGUUCCCCUGUACUGAGAUUUUUACUAGGGGUAUAUUAUGUCAACUUUAAAAUGUUUCUUUUUAAGGAGACAAUUUUUGCCAUCUAUUGGUAGGCUAAUGUUACAUUCUAAUCAAAACGGACUCUAAAUAACCUUUGUUAUCCAGAAGUUUUUCUUUCUUAAAAAUGUCUGAAAUUAAUUCCUUAGUAACCUGAUGGGGAAAAUGCUGUUCAAGUUUUUUAAAAUCUUACAUUUGCCUAAUGGGAUUGUUCAAUGUUAGCAUUGCCUGUACCUCUUCACAUCUUAUUUUAGUUAUUUGACACACCGAUCUGGUUCAUUAUUUUUAAAGACUACUGGUUGCUCUGUAGUAAAUUUCUACAGUUGUUCCCUUGAGGUCUCGAAAUGACCUUCUUAAACACAGUAAGCACUUUGCAUGACAAUGUUGCAGUGCUUUAGUGUCUUCUGUUUAUAAAGGAAAGUCUUUAGAUGUGUUUUAAAUAAAGUUUCACAUGUGUGAGAUCUAAUGCUUGUA
Mus spicilegus (steppe mouse) is the source of this 2097-nucleotide long non-coding RNA. The record is from Ensembl. Lineage: Eukaryota; Metazoa; Chordata; Mammalia; Rodentia; Muridae.